CAGACUUUCUCAGUUUCCUGCCCUGGAGUUGGACAAGUUCCUUGAAGAUGUCAGGAACGGGAUCUACCCUCUGACUGCCUUUGGAGUACCAUGUCCACAACAACCCCAGCAGGAGGCGGUGAAGUCGCCCAUCAUCCCUCCCUCAGUCAAAACCCCGACACCUGAACCCGCAGAGCUGGAGACCAGGAAGGUGGUUCAUAUGCAGUGUAAUAUUGAGCCUGUUGAUGAGGGAGCUAAACAUCAUCUGACUUUACUGUUGAAGCUGGAGGAUAAACUAAACAGACAUCUGAGCUGUGAUCUGUUACCAAGUGAGUUUUUCUCUCCGACACUUAACACCGCCAUCCCUCAGAUCAGUGGAACCCUCACCUUUCCUCCACCGCCUGCCUUUUGUAAACAGGAUGAUUGUUGAUUUUGGAUCAUUCUGAUGUUGA
Cynoglossus semilaevis (tongue sole) is the source of this 431-nucleotide long non-coding RNA. RefSeq lists it as uncharacterized. The record is from RefSeq and is a predicted model, not a curated record. The transcript has 4 exons. NCBI's taxonomy places the organism in Eukaryota, Metazoa, Chordata, Actinopteri, Pleuronectiformes, Cynoglossidae.